Molecule: ribosomal RNA, 468 nt
Filed under: uncultured bacterium
Lineage: Bacteria
Description: partial 16S ribosomal RNA
Rfam family: Bacterial small subunit ribosomal RNA
Source: RNAcentral
GACGAACGCUGGCGGCGGGCUUAACACAUGCAAGUCGAACGGAAAGGCCCUGCUUUUGUGUGGUGCUCGAGUGGCGAACGGGUGAGUAACACGUGAGUAACCUGCCCUUGACUUUGGGAUAACUUCAGGCGACUGGGGCUAAUACCGGAUAGGAGCUCCUGCUGCAUGGUGGGGGUUGGAAAGUUUCGGCGGUUGGGGAUGGACGCGCGGGUUAUCAGCUUGUUGGGGGGGUAGUGGCUUACCCAGGCUUUGGCGGGUAGCCGGCCUGAGAGGGUGACCGGGCACAAUGGGACUGAGAUACGCCGCAGACUCCUACGGGAGGCAGCAGUGGGGAAUAUUGCACAGUGGGCGGAAGCCUGAUGCAGCAACGCCGCGUGCGGGAUGACGGCUUUCGGGUUGUAAACCGCUUUAGCCUGUGACGAAGCGUGAGUGACGGUAAUGGGUAAAGAAGCACCGGCUAACUACGUG